Molecule: long non-coding RNA, 276 nt
Organism: Lemur catta (Ring-tailed lemur)
Lineage: Eukaryota; Metazoa; Chordata; Mammalia; Primates; Lemuridae
Exons: 3
Source: RefSeq, a predicted model, not a curated record
UGUGAGAGCCCAUCUAUGAGAGGCCCUGGCAAGCCAUCCUGAACCUACCAUCUUGCAGAGUUUCAGUCUAGUGUGAUUUCUGCGAGGAACAAAUGUUUGAUGAAUGAAUGACAAGAAAGAGGACUGGGGAGAAUUUCUGUGGAGCAUCUUUGGUGACCGCAUGGAAACAAGCCCGGCAUGCAGUGCUCCCACAUUAGAAGUGCAACAGGAGGUACCCUCAAAUAGGACGUGGAAGGACUGAAGUUGGCCAUCUGCCAGCCACUUAUUGCUGCGAAU